Molecule: ribosomal RNA, 497 nt
Filed under: uncultured bacterium
Lineage: Bacteria
Description: partial 16S ribosomal RNA
Rfam family: Bacterial small subunit ribosomal RNA
Source: RNAcentral
GACGAACGCUGGCGGCGUGCCUAAUACAUGCAAGUUGAGCGAUGAAGCUUGGUGCUUGCACCAAUUUGAAGAGCAGCGAACGGGUGAGUAACGCGUGGGGAAUCUGCCUUUGAGCGGGGGACAACAUUUGGAAACGAAUGCUAAUACCGCAUAACAACUUUAAACAUAAGUUUUAAGUUUGAAAGAUGCAAUUGCAUCACUCAAAGAUGAUCCCGCGUUGUAUUAGCUAGUUGGUGAGGUAAAGGCUCACCAAGGCGAUGAUACAUAGCCGACCUGAGAGGGUGAUCGGCCACAUUGGGACUGAGACACGGCCCAAACUCCUACGGGAGGCAGCAGUAGGGAAUCUUCGGCAAUGGACGAAAGUCUGACCGAGCAACGCCGCGGGAGUGAAGAAGGGUGUCGGAUCGUAAAACUCUGUUGGUAGAGAAGAACGUUGGUGAGAGUGGAAAGCUCAUCAAGUGACGGUAACUACCCAGAAAGGGACGGCUAACUACGUG